RNAcentral lists this ribosomal RNA (396 nucleotides) under uncultured bacterium. RNAcentral's name for it is "bacterial SSU rRNA". It matches the Rfam family "Bacterial small subunit ribosomal RNA", at positions 102 to 507 of the family's 1533-position model. The record is from RNAcentral.
ACGGGUGAGUAACGCGUGAGCAAUCUGCCUAGUGUGAAGGGGGGAUAAACCGUUUUGGAAACCGAACGCUAAUACCGCAUGAAGCAUUGGAAUCGCAUGUUUCUGAUGCCAAAGAUUUAUCGCACAUAGAUGGACCCGCGUCUGAUUAGCUAGUUGGUAAGGUAACGGCUUACCAAGGCAACGAUCAGUAGCCGACCUGAGAGGGUGAUCGGCCACAUUGGGACUGAGACACGGCCCAAACUCCUACGGGAGGCAGCAGUGGGGAAUAUUGCACAAUGGGGGAAACCCUGAUGCAGCAACGCCGCGUGAAGGAUGACGUAUUUUCGGUAUGUAAAACUUCUAUCAGCAAGGAAGAUGAUGACGGUACUUGACUAAGAAGCCCCGGCUAACUACGUG